This 945-nucleotide long non-coding RNA is filed under the name Erythranthe guttata (spotted monkey flower). RNAcentral's name for it is "long non-coding RNA (EGUT_LNC003031)". The record is from RNAcentral. Lineage: Eukaryota; Viridiplantae; Streptophyta; Magnoliopsida; Lamiales; Phrymaceae.
UUUCUCUCUCUCUCUCACCCUCUCUCAUCCACCGCCACCAUGGUCCGUUCUUUUUUCAAUUUUCUAUCACCCCCACCAUGGCCUUCUUUCUCUCUUUCUUCAUUGACACAGCCCUUCCUCUCUCCUUCUCCCUACCUCUCUCUUUAUUUAUUUUCAUUGACUUGGUGGUAUUAGUUGUAGGAGUUUUUUAGAUCGGAUCUUGGUGUGGGACGGCAGGCGGCGGUGGUCGGUGGGGGCGGUGAGCAGCGGUGGUUUUGGUUGUUGGGGGCGGCGGUGGUUUUGAUCGCUAGUGGGCGGCGGGCGGUGGUGGUUUUGGUCGUUGGGGGCUGGAGGUAGUUUUGAUCGCUAGGGGCGGCGGUGGUUUUGGUCGUUCGGGCCGACAACGGCUUUGGUUGCUGGGGCGGCGAGCGAUGGUGGUUUUGGUCGGUGGGGGCGGCGACGGUUUUGGUCGCUGGCAUCGGUGGUGGUUUUCUUCGAUGGCGACAGUAAUUUUUGUUAGAAUUUGAUGUUGGGUUUGGAAAAAGGGAAGUCUAAUUAAGAUGGGAUGAGACAUAGAGGAAAUUAAGAUGGGAUGAGACAUCGAGGAAGAGGACGGAAGUGGAGGUGGUGGAGGUGGCGGAUCUAGGGUUUCAUAUUGGAUGAGUGCGAAUGACUAUGUGUGUCUAUGAAUUACUAUGAGUGUAUACGAAUGAGUAGCGACUAGGGUUCAAAAUGUGAGCUAGGGUUUUAUGAGUAUGUGACUACGGACUACUAUGGUUCAUAUAGGUGUCUAUAGUCUACUGCGACCGAUUUUUUUAAAAAAAACAUUCACAAUUUUCAAUAUUAAUAAAGUAAAUUAUAGUAUACCAUAGUAUACCACAGUACAACAUAGUAUUAUAUUGUUUUAUUUAACAAAAACGAAAAAAAUUUAGUACAAUGUUAAAAAUAAAUAAAAGAAUGAAGUUG